This is a non-coding RNA of Peromyscus maniculatus bairdii (prairie deer mouse), 862 nucleotides long. NCBI's taxonomy places the organism in Eukaryota, Metazoa, Chordata, Mammalia, Rodentia, Cricetidae. The record is from RefSeq and is a predicted model, not a curated record.
UUUAAAAAGCUGAACUCCGAUCAACUGACUGUGGACAAACCCGCCUCUUCCAGGCUUGGAGAUGACAGGACCUCAGAUGCCCAGCUAAAGAACGGUUGUGCCGUGGGAAAGAGGCGAUGAAGGAGCCACACAGGCUGUUUCAUUAAGACUGCAGGUAUCCGGGCCUACAGCACUUCAGGAUCUGGUGCUCCCAGAAGGCUAUGAGAACAAGGAUCUUCAUUCCUUCCACACUGCCAGGGUGUGUCCCUCUGCAACCACAAUACACCCGGAGGAUGUAGAAAAACGUGGAGCAAACAAACAGCCAAACAGCUGACCCACACAGGGGGCUGCCCUAGCCCCUCCUCUAUACGGAGCCGGUGCAUCAGUGAUGGGUGAAAAGCUGCUGCCCAGCAAAAGAUGGGGACAGACACACAUGAACACGGGAUCUCGGUGGGAAGGACGGCAAGAGACAGGAAGUCUCCCCAGCGAGAUGCACGAGCCUCAGUGGAGACUCGCCCAGGCCACACACACUGGAAAGGGACCCAGAUGGUGGUGUGGGGAGGAAGAUACGUUGUGAUACCAGGCAUGGUGGCUCACACCUGUGACCCCAGCUCUUAGUUGGCUAAGACAGGAGAAUUGCCGUGGGUUUAAGGUCAGCCUGGCCUGCAUAGCAAGACCCCAUCCAAAACAAAACAAAACAAAGAAGCAAAUCAAAACAGAGAGAGAGGGGUUAGCAGAAACAGGGGGGUGAAUAUGCAUGGUCUACACUAUGCACACGUAGUAAAAUGUUAUAAUAAAGCCCAUUCCUAUGUAUAACUGGUAUGUGCUAAUGAAAACACUUAAAAAGUUAAAAAAUAAACUGAACCAGGGCUGGUGGGUUCCU